GGACCAUGAGAUUAUGACCUGAGCCAAAACCAGACACGCUCAAAGGACUGUGCCACCCAGACUAUGCUGUCCUUGUGUCUGUGCCAGCUCCUUCUCUGGAAUUGCCCGGCUCAAGCAAUUUGAUGCAUGAUGUUAAACUAUGUAUCUCCAUGGAGGCAAACAAAAAGUGUCAUUGGGACUCAGCCAGGGAUACACAUAUACCCACACCCAUAUGUAUACGUGCACGGUGAACUUUCCAUGAGAGUCAACUAGAAAAGCCUGCAGCAGCAAGCCUACUAUGUGCCACAGGAGCUUCUGUGUGGAACCUCUUUCUGGACCACGUGACACAUCUUCACAAACUCCUCGCUGGCUCUCAGGCUUCAUGUGUCGGUCAUCGUUCACCAUCUUGACUUCUAACCCUGUGCCAUUUCUCCUGCAUUUGCUUCUGCUUGCCUCCUUGUGCCCUGAGUGUGUUUGUGCAGGCAGCUGGGUGCUUUGUCUGCUGCCCUUUUCCCCCACGUGAGGCCCAAGGAGGCUCAGAACCAACCCAGUGGAUUUACUUCUGGAAGAAUCAGUUAUGUCCAGGUCUUUUCUAAGACAGUCCUGUUCUUACUAUUCAUCUUCUUGCCUCAGCAUUCAGGCAUUUGCCACCAGUAUUUAUAAUUACUGGCCCAUUUCAGAGUCUCUCUCUCUCUCUCUCUUUUUAACCAAAACAAUGUCUCUGUAUUUGGUGAUC
Long non-coding RNA from Felis catus (domestic cat), 715 nucleotides. RefSeq lists it as uncharacterized. NCBI's taxonomy places the organism in Eukaryota, Metazoa, Chordata, Mammalia, Carnivora, Felidae. The record is from RefSeq and is a predicted model, not a curated record. The transcript is spliced from 3 exons.